GCGUAUCAAUCGAGCUUGAGUUUGUCCGCGGCCGAUUUGGAUACAUGUCCGUUGCCUUUGGACAAUCGGUAUUUAGUGGAAGAUAUCUUUACGAAGAUUACUUUUCGUAAAAACGUUUAUGCUGAUUUUUACGGACUUUCAGACAUUGAUUCCGUCGUGACCGAUUUUGACCCCAACAGUGGGCACAAGACAUUUUGGGGAUGAACCAUUGGCCUUUUGAGGGGGGAAACAAGGUUUCCAUAGGAACGUAAUAUAAAAAUGCAUGUAUGUACUCAUGCUUAAGAAGGCGAUUAAGAUAGAUAGUUGUUUGGGACCGUGCUAAAUAAGGGUUCCAAUUAUUUGAAAAGGUAUGAAUGAUGUUGCAAUGACGAUUGAGUGUUUUACAUGUUUUAAACAAUUAGGUAUACAAAUCACGGUAGUCUAUACAAUAUGCGCCCAUAAAAAGUAUGAUUAUCCCGAUGUGAAAAUAUGUCUUCUCUUUCCUUGACUUAUAAAUAAAUUUUCUUAAGAGUCAAUUUUGGCAAUAGGUGUAAUUUAAGUGGACAAACUGAAACCAUAGUUAUAUAAAAAUAUGACAUACUACUCUAUAUCAAAAUAGUAUAGUCCACCCAAAUUAUCAUAGCCAACCGACAUUGUUCUACAUUCGUAAAUAGUAUGAUGGGGCUGAUGUAAAAAUAGUUGUGUACGAAUGCUUUCUCCUUUUUUAACAUAUACAUUAAAUGAAAUGUCAUGAUUGGAAUUAUGUGACCCUUACAUUUCACCAAAUUGAACCGCUUUAAUAUGCAACACCAACUUCCGGCUCCCCUCUUUUUGGUGCCUAUUUUGGAUUCCAACAUAUCUCCACUAACACAGUAACACAGUAUGCACAAACUAUACUAUAUUAAUAAUAGUAUAUCAAAUUUGCACUUAACAUAUAUUAGAUAUUGGCAGUUGCAUCUAUCUUAUAACUUUGGAUGUGUAUGCUAGUAUAUAAUAUGGACCUGCAAAACAACAGUACACAAAAAUAGCUUACUAAGACCAUGUUUAACGCAGUUUCUUAAAUGCGUUUCUUCCCCUUAAAAACACUAAAAAGUACUAAAAAUGAAAAGAAAGUGUUAGAAUAGUUUCUUUAAACAACAUUAUAAGAAACACACCUUAUACUUAAAAAACCAACUGUAGUUUUGUUAUUGGUCAGUUUUCUUACAAAGAAUUAAUUUUUUUUAUUUAUUUCAUUUAGAUUAACAAAAUUAUCCUUAUAUCAAUUAGAAACUCCAUACAAGGUUCUUCCCAUUAAUCAUGCCCUAAACAACCUAGAAGUAUUAGAUAACACAGAUGUCUGACUAUAUACCAAUUCAAGUGUACUAUAUUAUUUAUAAUGUAAUUCAUGAAUAGUAUCCAUGCAACACUUAUAACUUUCGAGACGCCGCCUCAUAUUUUCGGCAAUCAUUUACACUACCCCUAUACCUAACAUGAGUGUUUUACACUGCAGGGCAGUUUCCAAGUUUUUAUUACAAGAUAUGUCAGUUUCUGCUACUGGGACAGUUUCUGCUAAUUUGGGGUUGGUGAGAUGUGACUUGGUUCGUUUUCUUUUUGAAUCUGGUUUCUUUUCUCACAGCUAGUUGGACUUUCUAGUUAAGGUUUUGAAUUUUAAAUUUCAAUAAUUUUGUUGGACCCAAUUUUAGACCAAACCAGAUUUUUUUUCUUUCUAAUCUCCAUUACACUCAGACAGUAGCUCGUGGUGGUAGUGAUGCUCGAGAUCGGCUAUGGUGGUCAUCUCUUCAGUUGCACAAUGAAGCUCGAGCAACAAUGGCCAAAUUUCACUAAAUUUCAAAAUCUAAAGUUAGAAAUCAGUUUAGAAGUGAUAAAUAAACAAUCUUGAAGUGUAAUCUACACGUAAACGAAAAAAAUGAAAAUGCAUGAAAGAAAUCAAUGGCGGCCGCAAUGUUUGUUACAGGAAACCCUAAAAAAAUAUGGGAAACACGAAGAUAUAUGUACUAAAAUGCCACUCAUUAAAU
Brassica rapa (field mustard) is the source of this 1994-nucleotide long non-coding RNA. RefSeq lists it as uncharacterized. Lineage: Eukaryota; Viridiplantae; Streptophyta; Magnoliopsida; Brassicales; Brassicaceae. The record is from RefSeq and is a predicted model, not a curated record.